This is a non-coding RNA of Pelodiscus sinensis (Chinese soft-shelled turtle), 706 nucleotides long. Lineage: Eukaryota; Metazoa; Chordata; Testudines; Trionychidae. The record is from the annotation of a RefSeq genome assembly.
CUCAGAUGAUCAUUUAGCCUGACACUGGGAAGUCGCCGCUCUAUUUAUGUCAUGCAGACCCACUUGCAAUGAAUCUGUCUCUCUGCGGGGAACACAGAUCAUUGCUCUCAAGGGCACGUGUGCAGGGCCCUUUAAGUAAGGUGCUGCAUCUGUAAGCGUAGGAGCCUGGAGCCAAACCACAAAGUGAUUCUAUCUAUUGUUGGAGGAACCACACCUACAGAGCAGAGGGUGUAAAACCUGAUGCAAAGGAAUGUCUCUGCUCAGUGAGGCAGAGAUGGGGACAUGGAUAUUCUGGUACAUGGUCAUUUCUCUCGAGGUAGCAAGAUACUCAGGUGCUUGGAUCAACCAAACACAGAGUCUGGUUCUGGAGAAGGGAUACCGAGCCCAGCUCACAUGUCAACAAACCUAUGGGCACAACAGCAUGUUCUGGUACCGGCAGGAUCCAGGUCAGGGCCUGCAGCUGCUCUUUGUCUUUGUUAAUAAAGACCAAACAGACAAAGGCAAUGUCACUAAUCGAUACCGAGCAGAACAGCGACAGGCUGGGGUCCUUCACUUGGAUAUCUCUCCUGUAGCACCAGAGGACUCAGCUGUGUAUUUCUGUGCCAGCAGUUUAGACACAGUGCUUCGCAGGCGCCUCCUCCCCCUACAAAAUCCUCCUCCGCUGCUCCUUCCCAGAGAGGAGCUUCCCUGUGGUCUUGCCUCAUAA